GCUCACUUCAGCAGCAGAUAAAAUUGGAACGAUACAGAGAAGGUUAGCCUGGCCCCUGCACAAGGAUGACACACAAAUUCAUGAAGCGUUCCAUGUUUUU
Molecule: small nuclear RNA, 100 nt
Organism: Otolemur garnettii (small-eared galago)
Lineage: Eukaryota; Metazoa; Chordata; Mammalia; Primates; Galagidae
Source: Ensembl